Molecule: transfer RNA, 73 nt
Filed under: Marsupiomonas sp. NIES 1824
Lineage: Eukaryota; Viridiplantae; Chlorophyta; Pedinophyceae; Marsupiomonadales; Marsupiomonadaceae
Description: tRNA-Pro
Rfam family: tRNA
About the family: Transfer RNA (tRNA) molecules are approximately 80 nucleotides in length. Their secondary structure includes four short double-helical elements and three loops (D, anti-codon, and T loops).
Source: RNAcentral
CAGGGUGUAGCGCAGAUGGUAGCGCGUUAGCUUUGGGAGCUAAAGGUCGUAGGUUCGAAUCCUGCCGUCCUGA